AUGGCUCAGAUUGAACGCUAGCGGGAUGCCUUACACAUGCAAGUCGAACGGCAGCACGGACUUCGGUCUGGUGGCGAGUGGCGAACGGGUGAGUAAUGUAUCGGAACGUGCCUAGUAGCGGGGGAUAACUACGCGAAAGCGUAGCUAAUACCGCAUACGCCCUACGGGGGAAAGCAGGGGAUCGCAAGACCUUGCACUAUUAGAGCGGCCGAUAUCGGAUUAGCUAGUUGGUGGGGUAACGGCUCACCAAGGCGACGAUCCGUAGCUGGUUUGAGAGGACGACCAGCCACACUGGGACUGAGACACGGCCCAGACUCCUACGGGAGGCAGCAGUGGGGAAUUUUGGACAAUGGGGGAAACCCUGAUCCAGCCAUCCCGCGUGUGCGAUGAAGGCCUUCGGGUUGUAAAGCACUUUUGGCAGGAAAGAAACGUCAUGGGUUAAUACCCCGUGAAACUGACGGUACCUGCAGAAUAAGCACCGGCUAACUACGUGCCAGCAGCCGCGGUAAUACGUAGGGUGCAAGCGUUAAUCGGAAUUACUGGGCGUAAAGCGUGCGCAGGCGGUUCGGAAAGAAAGAUGUGAAAUCCCAGAGCUUAACUUUGGAACUGCAUUUUUAACUACCGAGCUAGAGUGUGUCAGAGGGAGGUGGAAUUCCGCGUGUAGCAGUGAAAUGCGUAGAUAUGCGGAGGAACACCGAUGGCGAAGGCAGCCUCCUGGGAUAACACUGACGC
This 732-nucleotide ribosomal RNA is filed under the name Achromobacter sp. 110518_136_C_E5. Its description in RNAcentral is "bacterial SSU rRNA". It matches the Rfam family "Bacterial small subunit ribosomal RNA", at positions 19 to 746 of the family's 1533-position model. Lineage: Bacteria; Pseudomonadati; Pseudomonadota; Betaproteobacteria; Burkholderiales; Alcaligenaceae. The record is from RNAcentral.